This 207-nucleotide ribosomal RNA is filed under the name uncultured bacterium. Its description in RNAcentral is "partial 16S ribosomal RNA". It matches the Rfam family "Bacterial small subunit ribosomal RNA", at positions 568 to 774 of the family's 1533-position model. The record is from RNAcentral.
CGUGCAGGCGGUCGCGUAAGUGGUGCGUGAAAGCGCCCGGCUCAACCGGGCGAGGCCGUGCCAAACUGCGUGACUGGAGGCAGGUAGAGGCGCGUGGAAUUCCGGGUGUAGUGGUGAAAUGCGUAGAUAUCCGGAGGAACACCAGUGGCGAAGGCGGCGCGCUGGGCCUGACCUGACGCUAAGACGCGAAAGCAUGGGGAGCGAACG